GACGAACGCUGGCGGCGUGCUUAACACAUGCAAGUCGAACGGAAAGGCCCUGCUUGCAGGGUACUCGAGUGGCGAACGGGUGAGUAACACGUGGGUGAUCUGCCCUGCACUUCGGGAUAAGCUUGGGAAACUGGGUCUAAUACCGGAUAGGACCGCACUUUAGUGUGUGUGGUGGAAAGUUUUUUCGGUGUAGGAUGAGCUCGCGGCCUAUCAGCUUGUUGGUGGGGUAAUGGCCUACCAAGGCGGCGACGGGUAGCCGGCCUGAGAGGGUGUACGGCCACAUUGGGACUGAGAUACGGCCCAGACUCCUACGGGAGGCAGCAGUGGGGAAUAUUGCACAAUGGGCGCAAGCCUGAUGCAGCGACGCCGCGGGGGGGAUGAAGGCCUUCGGGUUGGAAACUCCUUUCGCUAGGGACGAAGCUUUUUGUGACGGUACCUAGAUAAGAAGCACCGGCUAACUACGUG
RNAcentral lists this ribosomal RNA (465 nucleotides) under uncultured bacterium. RNAcentral describes it as "partial 16S ribosomal RNA". It matches the Rfam family "Bacterial small subunit ribosomal RNA", at positions 28 to 507 of the family's 1533-position model. The record is from RNAcentral.